Molecule: ribosomal RNA, 278 nt
Filed under: uncultured prokaryote
Description: partial 16S ribosomal RNA
Rfam family: Bacterial small subunit ribosomal RNA
Source: RNAcentral
CACGGGGGUUGCGAGCGUUGUCCGGAAUUACUAGGCGUAAAGGGCAGGCAGGCGGAUCCAUAAGUUUAUCGUUUAAGGCGUCGGCUUAACCGGCGUAGGGCGGUAGAUACUGUGGAUCUGGAAUGCGGUUGGGGAAGACAGAAUUCCUGGUGUAGCGGUGGAAUGCGCAGAGAUCAGGAGGAAUACCGAAGGCGAAGGCAGUCUUCCAAGCCGUUAUUGACGCUUAACUGCGAAGGUGUGGGUAUCAAACAGGAUUAGAUACCCUGGUAGUCCCUGAG